CUGAACUUGCUAAAGAUGUGCUUGCGGUUCAAGUUUCUUCUGUUGCUUCUGAAUCGGCGUUUAGCACUAGUGGGAGAAUUUUGGAUCCUUAUAGGAGUUCUUUGACUCCUUAUAUGAUCGAGGCUUUGAUAUGCACACAACAAUGGAUGCGGUCUUCAAAUCAGUCUCAGCCAGCAGUUGCAAACUUGGCUCAAAUGUUGGAAGAAGUUGACUUUUUUGAGUCAUUGGAUUCUCGGAACUCACAGGCAUGACCAAGUGAGGUUUAGGUACGUGAAGGUGAAGCUAAGGAAGUUGUGAAGAAAUGGAGAUGUUCGUUUUUGGUUUUAAGAGAAACAAAUGGGGUUUGUUUUUGGUGUGAAGAGAAAGAGAUGGUGUUUGUUUUUGGUCUCAACCUCUUCAAUCUCAUUUUAAAAUUAUGAAGUUGUAUGAACAAUGUUUUUGUUUUUGCUCUCUGUGGUUUCUGUCAAAAAACUUUAUUUUAUUAUCACACUAUGGAUGGCUGAGACCAAAAACAUUAUGGAUCGUUCA
This is a long non-coding RNA of Brassica oleracea var. oleracea, 528 nucleotides long. RefSeq lists it as uncharacterized. The record is from RefSeq and is a predicted model, not a curated record. The transcript is spliced from 3 exons. NCBI's taxonomy places the organism in Eukaryota, Viridiplantae, Streptophyta, Magnoliopsida, Brassicales, Brassicaceae.